RNAcentral lists this ribosomal RNA (497 nucleotides) under uncultured bacterium. Its description in RNAcentral is "partial 16S ribosomal RNA". It matches the Rfam family "Bacterial small subunit ribosomal RNA", at positions 28 to 507 of the family's 1533-position model. The record is from RNAcentral.
GAUGAACGCUGGCGGCGUGCCUAAUACAUGCAAGUCGAGCGAACGGACGAGAAGCUUGCUUCUCUGAUGUUAGCGGCGGACGGGUGAGUAACACGUGGAUAACCUACCUAUAAGACUGGGCUAACUUCGGGAAACCGGAGCUAAUCCCGGAUAAUAUUUUGAACCGCAUGGUUCAAAAGUGAAAGACGGUCUUGCUGUCCCUUAUAGAUGGAUCCGCGCUGCAUUAGCUAGUUGGUAAGGUAACGGCUUACAAAGGCAACGAUGCAUAGCCGACCUGAGAGGGUGAUCGGCCACACGGGAACGGAGACACGGUCCAGACUCCUACGGGAGGCAGCAGUAGGGAAUCUUCCGCAAUGGGCGAAAGCCUGACGGAGCAACGCCGCGUGAGUGAUGAAGGUCUUCGGAUCGUAAAACUCUGUUAUUAGGGAAGAACAUAUGUGUAAGUAACUGUGCACAUCUUGACGUUACCUAAUCAGAAAGCCACGGCUAACUACGUG